UGGAAUUCAUUCUCUGUGGGUCCAGUUAGGUGAUGUGAUGCACCAACCUGUCUUCAUGGUGCUGGAUCGUUCCCUCCAAUUUUCCUGGGCUCUGCGGUCCUUGACAGCUUUGUUCUGAUCUUCUGGGGACAUCACACUGAGUUCUCACAUGUACCAGGUGGUCCUGGCAAGUCUAUAGCUGGGAAAUAUUUACUUUUCUGAGACUAAUUCUUAAAACAAAAGGCACUUGGGGAUCUAGUCCAUAUCUUCCAGGAACUAGAAAGGGGAUGGCUGGCAGUCCUCCACCACCUCAUCUCUCUUGAUUGUCUCUUUCACUGCUGCACUAGCCCAGCGGAACUUCCCAAAGUCCACGGUAAGCAGACAUCCUAUCAGAGAACAAAAUGCUGGUCUCCUUUUCUAGCAUAAGCCUUCACUCUUUACAACUGCCUCCCUGAAGCCCCACUCCAUUUGGCUAAAGGGAGGGAAGCCCUCUCUGAGGGAUGAGCAAGAGCCGCUUUUCUUCAGAAACAUGGCUGUCCCUAAUGCUGGUCUCCCUGUCUGUAGACAGGGGAUAGCAGGAGGCGGUUAUGUGAGAGAUUGAUUGGUGGUUGAAUCUAUUCUCUGACCAUCUCGGUAAGCAAAGAGAGGCAACGACUGGCCUAGGCAAUGGUCUGAACAGAGAAUGUGGGGCUUUAGCAGCAAUUCCAGAGCAACGACAGCUCAGAUUCCUGUUACCAUAGUUAGCUUUACGGUGACUGCUUGGUAUGGAUCUGGGUUGCUCAAGCCUACAUGUGGCAUAAUAUAAGGAAUGUGCUUAGGUGGCCCAGAGCAUCUGGCUUGCUACAUCAAAUCCUAUUUAGGUCGAGGUGGCACAUAAAUGAUUCAAUGCUUUAUUUUCACUAUGUACUCUUAAAUUGAUGGAAAAACAACAAAAAUUAUUAUGGCUAACAAUAGCGCUAUUCUCCCUGUCAGUACUAAGUGAUUACAUAGAAACCAAAAUGCAAAUAAGCACAGAUACUGCCGCAGAGAGAUAUAAUCAUUUUCCUGACCUUUUAACUUUGUUUACAGCAUGUACACAAUUAUUCUAAAAAUAUCAUUUUCUCUUGCAUUUGCAGAGCUAAAAUUUUGUCCCCCAAAAGAACAAUGUGUCAUUCUGCUGUUGGUGGACUAGAAAAGCUCUCGCAGCCUCGUCUCUUCUGUGCAUCGGUGGAUAGAUGUGGAGUCAAGGCUCCUUAGUGCAGAGUCCCGCACUUCCUCAGCUGUGUGGGGAGAGCCUGACAAUGUGUCAGAUGUCAGAAGAUAAUUUGUCGAAGGAGAACCUGCUUUCUUCUAGCUUAACCUCUUACUGAAUUGUUUAUCUAUGCCAGUGAUGUAUGUGAAUUGACUCAGUCAGAAAAGAAAAGUUUCUAUGAUCCCAUCCAGGACAUAAUAUUACAUUUAGCUGUCAUGUCUCUGACAUGUCUCCAUCACGACUUCUUUGUUUUUGAUGAUCUUGACAAUUUUAAGGAGUACUGAUCAGGUGUUUUGUAGAAUGGCCCUCAGUUGGGAUUUGUCUGAUGUUUUUCUCUUGAUUAGAAUGGAGUUAUGCGUUUUGGGAAAGACUGUAAAGAGACCCCAGUAAAGGCUCUCACCUAGGCUUUCCCCUGCCUCCUGCUUCUACGCCUAUCAGAAAUGGGUGCUUCCCUGUGGCCUUGAGUGGCAUGGCAUGCCACUCUUCUCUUGGGAAAGGUAAAUAAUAAACUCUUCUUUCAAAGCCAUUGACCUCUCCAUACUAUCUCUCAGUCACUUUCAAAAAUUUAAUCCCACAGGUACAAAUGAG
Equus caballus (horse) is the source of this 1798-nucleotide non-coding RNA. The record is from RefSeq and is a predicted model, not a curated record. NCBI's taxonomy places the organism in Eukaryota, Metazoa, Chordata, Mammalia, Perissodactyla, Equidae.